CAGAGUGACAGGUGGUGCAUGGUUGUCGUCAGCUCGUGUCGUGAGAUGUUGGGUUAAGUCCCGCAACGAGCGCAACCCUUGAUCUUAGUUGCCAGCAUUCAGUUGGGCACUCUAAGGUGACUGCCGGUGACAAACCGGAGGAAGGUGGGGAUGACGUCAAAUCAUCAUGCCCCUUAUGACCUGGGCUACACACGUGCUACAAUGGACAGAACAAAGGGCUGCGAGACCGCAAGGUUUAGCCAAUCCCACAAAUCUGUUCUCAGUUCGGAUCGCAGUCUGCAACUCGACUGCGUGAAGCUGGAAUCGCUAGUAAUCGCGGAUCAGCAUGCCGCGGUGAAUACGUUCCCGGGCCUUGUACACACCGCCCGUCACACCACGAGAGUUUGCAACACCCGAAGUCGGUGAGGUAACCUUUAUGGAGCCAGCCGCCGAAGGUGGGGCAGAUGAUUGGGGUGAAGUCGUAACAAG
This 468-nucleotide ribosomal RNA is filed under the name Bacillus xiamenensis. RNAcentral describes it as "bacterial SSU rRNA". It matches the Rfam family "Bacterial small subunit ribosomal RNA", at positions 1027 to 1495 of the family's 1533-position model. The record is from RNAcentral. Lineage: Bacteria; Bacillati; Bacillota; Bacilli; Caryophanales; Bacillaceae.